Molecule: ribosomal RNA, 406 nt
Filed under: uncultured bacterium
Lineage: Bacteria
Description: partial 16S ribosomal RNA
Rfam family: Bacterial small subunit ribosomal RNA
Source: RNAcentral
AUUGAACGCUGGCGGCAGGCCUAACACAUGCAAGUCGAACGAGUGGCGGACGGGUGAGUAAUGUCUGGGAAACUGCCUGAUGGAGGGGGAUCACUACUGGAAACGGGCGCUAAUCCCGUAUACCCUCAGAUGUGCCCAGAUGGGAUUAGCGAGUUGGUGGGGUAACGGCUCACCAAGGCGACGCUCCCUAGCUGGUCUGAGAGGAUGACCAGCCACACUGGAACUGAGACACGGUCCAGACUCCUACGGGAGGCAGCAGUGGGGAAUAUUGCACAAUGGGCGCAAGCCUGAUGCAGCCAUGCCGCGUGUAUGAAGAAGGCCUUCGGGUUGUAAAGUACUUUCAGCGGGGAGGCGUUACCCGCAGAAGAAGCACCGGCUAACUCCGUGCCAGCAGCCGCGGUAAUAC